GCUCAAAAAGCUCUCUUUAAAGCGCUUUAUUCGGGGCUAGGGAGGUUUUUUGCCUGUUCUCUUAACAAAGCCUCA
RNAcentral lists this transfer RNA (75 nucleotides) under Zymomonas mobilis subsp. mobilis ZM4 = ATCC 31821. RNAcentral describes it as "tRNA-Thr". Lineage: Bacteria; Pseudomonadati; Pseudomonadota; Alphaproteobacteria; Sphingomonadales; Zymomonadaceae. The record is from RNAcentral. RNAcentral also lists the same sequence under 1 other name.